RNAcentral lists this microRNA precursor (127 nucleotides) under Myotis lucifugus (little brown bat). RNAcentral describes it as "mir-9193 microRNA precursor family". It matches the Rfam family "mir-9193 microRNA precursor family". Lineage: Eukaryota; Metazoa; Chordata; Mammalia; Chiroptera; Vespertilionidae. The record is from Rfam by way of RNAcentral.
UGUGCACUGGUGGGGUCCCUCAGCCUGGCCUGUGCGCUCUUGCAAUCUGGGAUCCCUCUGGGGAUGUCAGACUGCUGGUUUUGGCCCGAUCCCCACAGGCCAGGCUGAGGGGCCCCACCGGUGCACA